RNAcentral lists this ribosomal RNA (162 nucleotides) under uncultured bacterium. Its description in RNAcentral is "partial 16S ribosomal RNA". It matches the Rfam family "Bacterial small subunit ribosomal RNA", at positions 358 to 511 of the family's 1533-position model. The record is from RNAcentral.
GGAAUCUUCGGCAAUGGACGAAAGUCUGACCGAGCAACGCCGCGUGAGUGAAGAAGGUUUUCGGAUCGUAAAACUCUGUUGGUAGAGAAGAACGUUGGUGAGAGUGGAAAGCUCAUCAAGUGACGGUAACUACCUAGAAAGGGACGGCUAACUACGUGCCAG